GAAAACAGAAAUCAUCCAGAAUGCGCCAACCUUGUCAGAUUUCAAAGCUAAGACGGGUCGAGCCUGGUUCGUGCUUGAAUGGUAGACCGCCUGGGAAUACCAAGUGUUGUAUGUA
Molecule: ribosomal RNA, 115 nt
Filed under: Petromyzon marinus (sea lamprey)
Lineage: Eukaryota; Metazoa; Chordata; Hyperoartia; Petromyzontiformes; Petromyzontidae
Source: RNAcentral